GGGAGUGAAAUAGAACCUGAAACCCUGCACUUACAAGCUGUGGAAGCACAUUUCUUGUGUGACCGCGUACUUUUUGUAGAACGGGCCAACGAGUUACGUUAAGUAGCAAGGUUAAGCACUUAAGGUGCGGAGCCGUAGCGAAAGCGAGUUUUAACUGAGCGUUCAGUUACUUGACGUAGACCCGAAACCGGGCGACCUACCCAGGAGCAGGAUGAAGCGAAAGUAAAAGUUCGUGGAGGUCCGAACCCACGAGCGUUGAAAAGCUCGGGGAUGACUUGUGGGUAGCGGUGAAAUUCCAAUCGAGCCCGGAGAUAGCUGGUUCUCCCCGAAAUAGCUUUAGGGCUAGCCUCAAGGUGAGAGAUACGGAGGUAGAGCACUGAAUGUCCUAGGGGGUAUUGCACCUACCGAAGACUAUCAAACUCCGAAUGCCGUCAUCUUAUACUUGGGAGUCAGACUGUGGGUGAUAAGAUUCAUAGUCGAAAGGGCAACAGCCCAGAUCGUCAGCUAAGGUCCCUAAAUGUAAGUUAAGUGGUAAAGGAUGUGGGAUUGCACAGACAACCAGGAUGUUGGCUUAGAAGCAGCCACUCAUUCAAAGAGUGCGUAAUAGCUCACUGGUCGAGUGAUCCUGCGCCGAAGAUUUCCGGGGCUAAAACUUACUACCGAAGCUACGGCAUCAGUAAUGAUGGGUAGGGGAGCUUCCCAUACGGGUUGAAGCAUGACCGUAAGGACAUGUGGACAGUAUGGGAGUGAGAAUGUUGGCAUGAGUAGCGAGAUGUGGGUG
RNAcentral lists this ribosomal RNA (781 nucleotides) under Clostridioides difficile. RNAcentral's name for it is "bacterial LSU rRNA". It matches the Rfam family "Bacterial large subunit ribosomal RNA", at positions 534 to 1323 of the family's 2925-position model. The record is from RNAcentral. Lineage: Bacteria; Bacillati; Bacillota; Clostridia; Peptostreptococcales; Peptostreptococcaceae.